GCAAACUGCCCCACCCCCUGAAUCAUCUGCUUCAGCUGGUUACAUUGAUUCUUCAGUCCUUGGGCGAGCUGAGAAUUUUCCUGCAUCUCUCCUCUCCGGUAAACUAUAGGGGAAAAAAAGGAAAUGGAACCUAUGAAAUAAAAGAUGCUUAAGAGCCAUACCAAUGAAAUUCAGUAACCGCUUUGGACUUCCCUGGUGGCUCAGUGGUAAAGAAUCUACCUGCCAAUGCAGGAGACAUGGUUCCAGCCCCGGUCUGGAAAGAUCCUACAUGCCGAGGAGCAGCUGAGCCCGUGACCACAACUACCGACCCUGUGCUCUAGAGCCCGUGCUCUGACACGAGGGAAGCCACUGCAAUAAGAAGCCUGCUCAUCGCAACUAGAGAGCAGCCCGCACAGCAACAGAGACCCAGCACAGCCAAAAAUAAAUAAAUAAAUAAAAUGUCAGAAAAAGUAACAGCUUUAUCAAGAUUUAAUUCACAUACCAUACAACUCACCAAUUUAAACAAUUCAGUGGUUUUUAGUAUAUUCACAGAGUUGUACAACCAUCACCAUAAUCAAGUUUAGAAGAGUUUUGUCACCUCAGAAAGAAACCUCACACCUAUUGGCAGACAUUCUACAUUCCCCCACAGCUUUUACAGCCCUGCUGCUGCUGCGUCGCUUCAGUCGUGUCCGACUCUGCGACCCCAUAAACGGCAGCCAACCAGGCUUCCCGUCCCUGGGAUUCUCCAGGCAAGAACACUGGAGUGGGCUGCCAUUUCCUUCUCCAAGUCCUAGACAACUACUAAUCUCCUUUCUGUGUCUUUGGAUUUGUUUUGGAUGCUUCAUACAAGUGAAAUCAUAUAAUAUAUGGCCUUUUGUGACUAGCUUCUUUCACCUUAGGAUAAUGUUUUCAAGUAUAACCUUGUUUUAAAUUUUCCUGCUCUUAUAGGAGGGCUUCCUUGGUGGUUCAGUGGUAAAGAAUCUGCCUGCCAGUGCAGGAG
Molecule: long non-coding RNA, 979 nt
Organism: Bos taurus (domestic cattle)
Lineage: Eukaryota; Metazoa; Chordata; Mammalia; Artiodactyla; Bovidae
Source: Ensembl